RNAcentral lists this ribosomal RNA (425 nucleotides) under uncultured bacterium. RNAcentral's name for it is "bacterial SSU rRNA". It matches the Rfam family "Bacterial small subunit ribosomal RNA", at positions 356 to 773 of the family's 1533-position model. The record is from RNAcentral.
GGGGAAUUUUGGACAAUGGGGGAAACCCUGAUCCAGCCAUGCCGCGUGCAGGAUGAAGGCCUUCGGGUUGUAAACUGCUUUUGUACAGAACGAAAAGGUCGCUUCUAAUAAAGGCGGCCCAUGACGGUACUGUAAGAAUAAGCACCGGCUAACUACGUGCCAGCAGCCGCGGUAAUACGUAGGGUGCAAGCGUUAAUCGGAAUUACUGGGCGUAAAGCGUGCGCAGGCGGUUAUGUAAGACAGAUGUGAAAUCCCCGGGCUCAACCUGGGAACUGCAUUUGUGACUGCAUGGCUUGAGUGCGGCAGAGGGGGAUGGAAUUCCGCGUGUAGCAGUGAAAUGCGUAGAUAUGCGGAGGAACACCGAUGGCGAAGGCAAUCCCCUGGGCCUGCACUGACGCUCAUGCACGAAAGCGUGGGGAGCAAAC